GAAGUCCUUCGCCCGAAUAUCUCUAUUCCUCGCUCGUAACUUGACCCGUUCAAGGUUGUUCAGGAUGGGUCUUCAGUGGAGGAUAUCAGUGCAACGUCUUAGGAUGGAGAGACUUAAUAUUUUAAACUGUACUGUAAAUAAGGUGUUAUACCCUUACGUUUAUUGCUACCUAUAUGAACAAUGAUAUUUAUUUAUUUACCUUUUUCAUGUUGGUAUUUCCUUUGUGUAUGGUGUAAUUGGU
Molecule: long non-coding RNA, 241 nt
Filed under: Lathyrus oleraceus (garden pea)
Lineage: Eukaryota; Viridiplantae; Streptophyta; Magnoliopsida; Fabales; Fabaceae
Description: Pisum sativum (pea) long non-coding RNA (PSAT_LNC004368)
Source: RNAcentral